RNAcentral lists this ribosomal RNA (547 nucleotides) under uncultured Scutellospora. RNAcentral's name for it is "SSU rRNA". It matches the Rfam family "Eukaryotic small subunit ribosomal RNA", at positions 548 to 1098 of the family's 1831-position model. Lineage: Eukaryota; Fungi; Glomeromycota; Glomeromycetes; Diversisporales; Gigasporaceae. The record is from RNAcentral.
UUGGAGGGCAAGUCUGGUGCCAGCAGCCGCGGUAAUUCCAGCUCCAAUAGCGUAUAUUAAAGUUGUUGCAGUUAAAAAGCUCGUAGUUGAAUUUCGGGAUUCUACCGUUGGUCGGGCUAUCCAGUCUGUACUAGCGUGUAGAAUUUCUACCUUCUGGGGAACCAUCAUGUUAUUAAUUUAGCGUGGUGGGAAACCAGGACCUUUACCUUGAAAAAAUUAGAGUGUUCAAAGCAGGCUUACGUCUGAAUACAUUAGCAUGGAAUAAUAGAAUAGGACGGUGGUCCUGUUUUGUUGGUUUCUGAAUCACCGUAAUGAUUAAUAGGGAUAGUUGGGGGCAUUAGUAUUCAAUUGUCAGAGGUGAAAUUCUUGGAUUUAUUGAAGACUAACUUCUGCGAAAGCAUUUGCCAAGGAUGUUUUCAUUAAUCAAGAACGAAAGUUAGGGGAUCGAAGACGAUCAGAUACCGUCGUAGUUUUAACCAUAAACUAUGCCGACUAGGGAUCGGACGAUGUUAAAUAUUAUUGACUCGUUCGGCGCCUUACGGGAAAC